Molecule: long non-coding RNA, 607 nt
Organism: Hibiscus syriacus
Lineage: Eukaryota; Viridiplantae; Streptophyta; Magnoliopsida; Malvales; Malvaceae
Exons: 4
Source: RefSeq, a predicted model, not a curated record
GACUUGGAACAAGAGAUUCCAAGAAUGUUUCACUAAUUUGAUUUAUUAGGGAUUUUAUCAGAUCUAAGGGAAAUAGGUGAACCGAAAAAAAUUUCGAGAAAUGAAGAUCCAGAGGGCAGCGAGCCUGUGCUGCCGAGACCGCCUCCGAGCGCCAGAGUAAGGUCGGCACCCGACCCUUUUCUGGUGGUCUGCCGGUGCUUUAGCAUUAUUUUGCAUGUUGCAGUUAUGACAAGAGUUUUCCCUGAAUAUUCAUCGAGUCAACGGGAUCUUGUACUUCUUCAGAACAUAGCGAGCUAUGUGUUCCUUGCUUGCGGUCUAGUAUAUGUUUUUUCGGGACUUUUAUGCAUUGGCUUUCUCAAACGUUCACGCAAAGAAAAGGAAAUUACAAGGGAACAAGCAGUUAAGGAUCUGGAGGAAGGGGAUGAGAGAAUGAAGCAUGGGACAUGUUGAUCCUGUUGUGUAUUAUGUUUUCCUGUGGAGAGGCAGGCAAGGGAGCUCACACCAAAACAAUUGUUCAACUUGAAGAUGCUUCCUUAUCUGAUGCUUUCUUCAAGUAGGAAACUAGGAAUAACAUUUCGUGUAAGAUUCUUUCGGAUUGCAUAUUAAA